Molecule: long non-coding RNA, 704 nt
Organism: Xiphophorus maculatus (southern platyfish)
Lineage: Eukaryota; Metazoa; Chordata; Actinopteri; Cyprinodontiformes; Poeciliidae
Exons: 3
Source: RefSeq, a predicted model, not a curated record
CAACACACUGCAGAAGACGGGUUGUCCAACAGGCGCUGUAUAUGGUUGCAGCUGCAUAAGUACACCAGCUCUGUUAAGGGCCAGCACUCAUUACGAGAAAUGGAGAUUGUGGAAGCAAUAAAUUUUGGAGCAGACCUUAGCAGCGACUGCAGCUAUACAUCAAUCCCCACCACGUCGACAGUGCACCAUCCACAUCGUCAAUUUUUCAGAUCGCUACACUCUUGAAAAUCCUAGGACAUACGCGUGCUGGGGAAGCUGUGCUGAUCCUCUGCCUCCUAGAAUUUUGCCGACUUCUUCUGGAAGCGCAGUGUUCGCCAAAACACCUCGCACUGGACGUGGCUUUUCAGGCAUCUCAAUCUAUGAUCUCUGUGAUAACGCCACAAUGGUUGCCUCUGAGCAAAUGACUGUCGUGUUCAAGGUGCCAUAUGACUUGAAUUUCAAGGCAAACGAGUAUGCACUAGGAGUCUUUGACGUCAACCAGAAGUUUAAUAAAUAUGUCUUUGAACAUAUGGAUAAGGAAAUGACAGUGACUAAAGGCCAAGCAAAGGGCCCCUCUCUGAUUCACAAGAGCCAGAGUGUUACUAUGAGAGCCACAAUGUCAGAUUGUAUUGAUCCUGUCAUAAAGGUGCAUGUAAGUGACAACUAACAGCCAUAAUAUUUAUUUGGAUUUUACUUGAAUAUGAGCAAUAAAGUGGUGAUUGUGA